RNAcentral lists this ribosomal RNA (401 nucleotides) under uncultured bacterium. RNAcentral's name for it is "bacterial SSU rRNA". It matches the Rfam family "Bacterial small subunit ribosomal RNA", at positions 28 to 435 of the family's 1533-position model. The record is from RNAcentral.
GUUGAACGCUGGCGGAAUGCUUUACACAUGCAAGUCGAGCGGCAGCGCGGGGCAACCUGGCGGCGAACGGCGAACGGGUGAGUAAUACAUCGGAACGUACCCAGUUGUGGGGGAUAGCCCGGCGAAAGCCGGAUUAAUACCGCAUACGACCUGAGGGUGAAAGGGGGGAGUCGCAAGACCUCUCGCAGUUGGAGCGGCCGAUGGCGGAUUAGCUAGUUGGUAGGGUAAAGGCCUACCAAGGCGACGAUCCGUAGCUGGUCUGAGAGGACGACCAGCCACACUGGAACUGAGACACGGUCCAGACUCCUACGGGAGGCAGCAGUGGGGAAUUUUGGACAAUGGGGGCGAACCCUGAUCCAGCCAUUCCGCGUGAGUGAAGAAGGCCUCGGUUGUAAGUACGU